This 829-nucleotide long non-coding RNA is filed under the name Malus domestica (apple). Its description in RNAcentral is "long non-coding RNA (MDOM_LNC009730)". Lineage: Eukaryota; Viridiplantae; Streptophyta; Magnoliopsida; Rosales; Rosaceae. The record is from RNAcentral.
GUAGUGUUCCCUUAAUUUCCCGAGUGAGGAAAACUUCUCGGUUGGAGACUUGGAAAAUCCAAGUCACUGAGUGGGAUCGGCUAUAUGAAUCUUAGAACGCCAUUGUGCUCGGUCCUGUGUCAUGUCCUUCGUUAGAUUCAAGUACUCUAAGUCUUUUCUUAGAGUCUCUUCCAAAGUUUUCCUAGGUCUUCCUCUACCCCUUCGGCCCUGAACCUCUGUCCCAUAGUCGCAUCUUCUAAUCGGAGCGUCAGUAGGCCUUCUUUGCACAUGUCCAAACCACCGUAACCGAUUUUCUCUCAUCUUUCCUUCAAUUUCGGCUACUCCUACUUUACCCCGGAUAUCCUCAUUCUGUUGUGCUAGGAUAGCACCAAACCUUAUGGAACCAACUCAAUCUAACCCACAGGAAAUUUAUCAAAUGAAAAUGCAAGAACAAUAUAGAAAAUAACACCAAGAUUUUAACGAGGUUCCUCCACAGUCAGUGUAACUGGAGUACGUCCUCGGAGCAGUAGGAGCUCACCCAAUAAUCCACUAUCAACCAAAUGGGAGUUUACAAAGUGUUGGCAAUCUCACAACCCAAAUAACCCAAUACACCCAAUAGCUCUCACACACCAAAGAAACAAAUAGAGAAGAAAAUAUAAUGAAUAAUUUCUUCUCUAUACAUAUAGCUCAAAGCUAUUACAACAACAAUUACUUUGGUUGAUGAUUACUAAUCAAAUGAAGCAACAACUUCUUCUUUCUUUUGGGCUCUCUACAACUCUCCUUGCUCUCUCAAAGAUGGACUUCUAAAAACUGAAAAUGGUGCAGCCUACCUUUCUCUUUUCUUCUCCGA